This is a long non-coding RNA of Lepisosteus oculatus (spotted gar), 360 nucleotides long. RefSeq lists it as uncharacterized. The record is from RefSeq and is a predicted model, not a curated record. NCBI's taxonomy places the organism in Eukaryota, Metazoa, Chordata, Actinopteri, Semionotiformes, Lepisosteidae.
CAAUACCUCUUAGUUUCGUCCAGGUCUGGAGAUGAGUGUAGUUGGCGUUUUGUGGAUAUAUUUCUGGUCUUACGGAUGCCCCGGACAAGAGUCGAACUGGCCCACUGCUCUGCAUGUAUCCACAGAGGAAAAGACUGUAAAGGAUGGUGAGGAGAUGUCUUUCAGAAAUAUUCUCAAAUGUGCACAGACAAAGGGGACCUUAGAUGUUACAGCGGUACAAAUAUAUUGUUGCAUAGCAAAGCCUGAAGUGAGCUAAUGAAACUAAGUUCUGGUCCUCUAAGCAUGUAUUACACAUGAAAUGAAACAACAAAACAAAUCUGUGUGAAAAAGCAAGUGAAAAAUCGAUACUGCAUCCAGAAG